RNAcentral lists this ribosomal RNA (484 nucleotides) under uncultured bacterium. RNAcentral's name for it is "partial 16S ribosomal RNA". It matches the Rfam family "Bacterial small subunit ribosomal RNA", at positions 30 to 507 of the family's 1533-position model. The record is from RNAcentral.
AUUGAACGCUGGCGGCAGGCCUAACACAUGCAAGUCGAGCGGAUGAAGGCUGCUUGCUCCUGGAUUCAGCGGCGCACGGGUGAGUAAUGCCUAGGAAUCUGCCUCGUAGUGGGGUAUGACGUCUGGAAACGGGUGCUAAUACCGCAUACGUCCUGCGGGAGCUACUUGGGGAUCUUUGGACCUCACCCUCUCAUAUGAGCCUAGGCCGGAUUAGCUAGUUGGUGGGUUAAGGGCUUACCAAGGCGAGGAUCCGCAACUGGUCUGAGUGGAGGAUAAGUCACACUGGAAGUGAGACACGGUCCAGAGUACUACGGGAGGCAGCAGUGGGGAAUAGUGGACAGUGGGCGAAAGCAUGAUCCAGCCAUGCCGCGUGUGUGAAGAAGAUCUUCGGAUUGUAAAGAACUUUAAGUUGGGAGAAAGGGCAGUAAGUUAAUACCUUGCGGUUGUGACGGUACCAACAGAAUAAGCACCGGCUAACUUCGUG